RNAcentral lists this ribosomal RNA (463 nucleotides) under uncultured bacterium. Its description in RNAcentral is "partial 16S ribosomal RNA". It matches the Rfam family "Bacterial small subunit ribosomal RNA", at positions 28 to 507 of the family's 1533-position model. The record is from RNAcentral.
GACGAACGCUGGCGGCGUGCUUAACACAUGCAAGUCGAACGGAAAGGCCUUUUCGGAGGUACUCGAGUGGCGAACGGGUGAGUAACACGUGGGUGAUCUGCCCUGCACUCUGGGAUAAGCCUGGGAAACUGGGUCUAAUACCGGAUAGGACCGCACUUUAGUGUGUGUGGUGGAAAGUUUUUUCGGUGUAGGAUGAGCCCGCGGCCUAUCAGCUUGUUGGUGGGGUAAUGGCCUACCAAGGCGGCGACGGGUAGCCGGACUGAGAGGUUGGUCGGCCACAUUGGGACUGAGAUACGGCCCAGACUCCUACGGGAGGCAGCAGUGGGGAAUAUUGCACAAUGGGCGCAAGCCUGAUGCAGCGACGCCGCGUGGGGGAUGACGGCCUUCGGGUUGUAAACUCCUUUCGCCAGGGACGAAGCGUUUUGUGGCGGUACCUGGAGAAGAAGCACCGGCUAACUACGUG